RNA transcript from Trifolium pratense (red clover), 3423 nucleotides. RefSeq lists it as uncharacterized. The transcript has 3 exons. NCBI's taxonomy places the organism in Eukaryota, Viridiplantae, Streptophyta, Magnoliopsida, Fabales, Fabaceae. The record is from RefSeq and is a predicted model, not a curated record.
AUUCGGUUUUAGAGACCAAUUUAGCGACCGAAAUAAUUUGGUCGCUAUAGAGACCGAAUUAGAGACCAAAAUUUCGAGCAUCAAAGUCAAAAAAUAUUCAGUCGCUAAAUCGGUCACUACGUAAUUAUAGAGACUGAAUUAGAGACCAAUAAUUAGUGACCAAUGUUUCGGUCGCUGUAGAGACCGAAUUAGAGACCAAAAUUUUGAGUGUAAAAGUCAAAAAAUAUUCGGUCGCUAAAUCAGUCGCUAUGUGAUUAUAGAGACCGAAUUGGAGACCGAUUAUGAGCGACCAGCCGAUCCGACGCAAACAAUUAUUUUUUUUUAAAUACUAAUUAUCUGUAUUUUUUUAUAUAUUUUUAGAUAUUAAACAUUAACAAUUAACAAUAUGAACUACAAACCUUACCAAAAAUAAAAAACAAUAUGAACUAGAAACAAACAUUGAUAUAUUUUAAGAACUCAAAUUUAAAAGGGGAACAAGAAAAUAAAACCCUAAGCUCAAAUGAACAUCUCUGAAUACGAUCUUUUCCACUCGAUCUCUCUCAACUCACGUAAUUCCUAACCUAUCGACUCUCAAUUGUGAACGCAUCUCUCGCUGAUUCUUCAAGUUGUUCGCCCUGCUCAAUCAUUCUCUUCGUUUCUGCAUUGACUCGGUACCUUUAUCUUUCUCUCUCAAAUCCCUCGUUCUUAUUUUCUUCUGCUAUGAUUUCUUAUCUUUCUUUUUGGGUUUUUUGUUUAUGUUCUUUAUUUUUUAGGGUUUGUGGGAAUUUUUUAGAAUUUGUGGUUUGUGAAGAUCUUUGAAUCUUUGAUUUUCUUAGGUAUAUUUUGUUUGAUUUUUUUUUUCUGGUGUGAUGUUUGGUUGGUCUGUUAGACCGGUUCGAUUCCUUGCUGAUUGUUUCCUUGAGAUUUUUGAAUCACAUCUAACCUUUUCAAGUAUUUUGGUUGUCUUCUACUAGUGCUGAUUUGUUCGCUCAGUAGUGCCCUUUAUUGAUGCUUAUUUGGAUAGUAACUAUCCAAAUAUUAUACAUUGAGCCACUAACUACCAACACGUUUCCAUAACCUCUCAUUCACCUAUUAUAUCCAAAUACCAGUGCUGAUGUUACUAUAAAUUAUGUUUACUUAUAUUUAAAAGAUGAGAUUCAAGCUAAAAGCUAAAAGAAAGCUAUACAAAAUAGUGUUAAAUAGACAAAAGACCAAUAGAAAAGGAACAAAAUCAAACAAAACCUUAUGACUUUAGAAAUAUGAAAGUCAUUUUGUACCAUAUCUAAUGAAUUGUGAUUCUAAUUUUCAUAAUUGAAUGCAUGAGGAAAAAUUGAUUUGUAGGGCUGCAACAAUUAAUGAAAACAUUAAACAUAAGUUAGAACAUGUCACUAUAUAUAAUAGCUGAAAAUAAGCAUGAUAAAUAUAAAGAAAGAGUUAGUUUAUUUACAGGAUUUAGCAGUUACUUGUAGGGAGUCAUCCAAAAGCAAUGUGUUUGACUCAUUAUAAUAUCCAUUCUCCCAAGGAAGAUUAGGAUUAUAUACUUUGUCCUAAAUUUUCCUUAAUUCCUUCAAAACGUACAAGUGGUUUGUGCUUGUUUUCAAGAGUACUGUCAAGAAUGUUUUACAAAAGAGACCAAUCAUGCUAAAAACUUGCAUGUAUCAGUCAAUAAAGAAUUAACAUAUAGUAAUCCCGGCCAUACUUUGAGAUUGGAUGGUAAUGAUUUUAAGUUGGAUUGUAAUCUCCUGCCCCAACAGUUACUCUCAUACACAUAACUGCAUUAAGGAUGGAAGAAAAAAAAAGCAGUGUUAGAUUCAAUGAUGCAGAAAAGAAUAAGUUAAAUCAUUUGGUAUAUUGAAUAACACAAGUUAUUGAUGCAUCACUUUCAUAAGGUAUUUAUUGCAUACUUCUAUUCACCAUUUCCAUGAAUUUUUCCAUUAUGUGAUUGUUUGUAAAUUCAUUGCAAUUUAGAAGUUGAUCUGUUUUUUUUGGUAUUUUGUGUUUGCUUUCAGCCUGCUAUCAGUCCAAAUGGUGUGCUAUUAUUCGGUUUUGUAAUUAGUACAUAUGCAAAUCAUAUACACAUAAUAAAUAAUAUAUACACAAUAAAAUCUUUAUACAUUUUCACCAUUCCUUAUCUUUUUUCAAAGAAUCUCAUGUAUUACUCAAUGGUCAUUCCUUAAUUUAUAGCUAGAGUUUGUGCAUUAAUUGAAUGCAUACCAAUAAAAGAGGAAUAAAUUUAAUUGGAAGUGGCUAAAGAAUUCUGUAUAAUUAGCUUUUUCAACUUCAUGCUAAUUACAUAAACAAGACUUAUUAAGUUCUUCUAAUCUAAUUAUCAUUGCUUCUCUGGUAGUAAAAUAUUCAAUUCUUGUUCAAAUCUCUCUUUUGUGAUAUCAGUAAGACACUACUUUCCACUUCAAUUGCUGAAACCAAGUAUAAUAAUAUUUUGUUGAUCUAGAAAACGGAUUUGAAAUCUGAUGGAUACACUUGAAUCUGAUACUGAAUUGUGGUAGGCCACGCUAGGUACUUCCCCUUUAGAUGUAAGAUUUGACACAGAUGCCUUAUAACCAAAAAGAAUUGGCACUUUUCAACUCUAGAAAUCUAAUGAUUUUUGUUUUCCUCCAAUGAUUAAUAUACCAACAUGUUAUAGGUGAUUUUACACAAGUUCAGAGAUUCUUAUGUUGUUUUCUCAGGUCAUUAUCAUACAUAAAAGAUGAUUACGUACUGUGUAGAAUUCUUCAUUUAUAUGGCAUCUCAGGUAUAGAUGUCUUCUUUGAUGAGUUUUAUCAGUAAUGGUUCAUUUCCACGUUAAAGCCAAAAUAAAGACUAUGGCGUCUAGAGGACGUAAUGCUAAUGCGCGUAAUAAAACAAUUGUUAUGACUUUCUCUCCCUUCGAGAUUCAGAAAGGAGUUACAAAUUUUCUGAAAAUAUGUGUUUACUUUAUUCUAUCUUCUGGCAUGACGUGUGUUGGGACGGAGCUUGUUAAAGAUGCUGCCAAAAUUCCUAAAGUUCUUGCUCAUAAGAGGCAGUAAUAAAGUCAAACAACUUUCAAGGGAUCUAAAGUCAUUUGAUAGGAAGGUACCAUUCAAUAAUGAAGGUGGUUUUAUUACCCUUUAUCAUAAGAAAAGUUCAUUCUCUUGCAUUCAAGUGCAAUGGGUAGGAACCAAUUUGUAUUGUUAUUGAUUAAAAAUUAACUUGUUGAAUGACUUAACUUUUGUGCAGGUCAUUGUACCAAGAAUGUAUAUCAUGGAGCAUAUGGAUUACAGCCUCUAGAACGAUCAAUACAUAUAUUUAUAGGAGAUUUAUUUGUAAUACCGACUAUAGACACACAAAAAAAAUUAGUUAGGCAUAAAGUGCUUAAUAUUAUGCAAAGUUAGUCUAGGUAUGGAUUUAAUGUAAUGAUAGAUUCUUUUUAUGUAUCAUAAUUUUUUAUUUAUGAUAUUUAUAUUA